UUCUUUAGCAAGGUUUAAAAAGUAUUCUAUCCGCUUAAAGGUUAGACAAAAGAAAGGAUGUUGCAAAUGAAUGAUCAAAUCAUCACUGAUUUUUUAAAAAAGGUUACAUGUAGUACUUAAGUGAAAUUCUCAUCUUACUGAUUUACAAUUACAAGCUAAUUUUUCUAUAGCUGCCUGAAAAUCUUUUCCUUCAAUGGGCACUAAUGGAUUGCCCAUGGAGCUGUGAAUUGGACCAAUCAUUCUGGAAAGUAAUUUGGGGCUGGGUUGUGUAUGAUGGGGCGAUUCUAAAACACAAAAUCAGACAGGAAAUGAAAAAAAAGGAGAAAUUAUCUCACAAAAAUGGGGCAUGUAAAGAACUGGUACAGAGGAAACAGGUGGGGGAGAAGAUUGGAAAUGCUGGAACUUAUUCCCAUGGGAUCUGAGUUGAAGAGGGAACAACUUAUACAUCUAUUGGAGGGGUGUAAAAGUCUUCUGGACCUGUAGAGAGGGUGAGGCAAAAAAAGAGGAAAAAUGGAAGAGGACAUGAUGGAGAGAAAUACAGAAUUAGUCAUCAUGACAGCGAACACAAAUGACAAAAUGGAACAGGACCACAAGCUACAUUAGAAAGCGAAUCCAAAAAAUGGGAAAACCUGGGCACAGAGAGGCAUCUAAGUGGUCCAGCAGAAAGAAUGCUCAGCUUAGAGUCAAGAAGACCUGAGUUCCGAUCCCGCCUGAGACAUUUAUUAGUUGUGUGACCUUCAACCUCAUCUGUAAAAUGGGCAUAAUAACAGCACCCAUCUCCCAGGAUCAUUGUGGGCCUCAGAUGAGAGAACUAUGUAUAAAGCGUUGUACACCCUUAAAUUGCUGUGUAAAUGCCAGCUGUGAUGAAGUGAUUUGCCGAAGCAAGCAAAUCUACUUAGCCCCCAUAGGAGUAUGCCUCAGAUGGUGCUACAUUUUUAGGAAAAAAAAUGCAUCCCAAAUUUUACAAUUAAGAACCUCAG
This is a long non-coding RNA of Phascolarctos cinereus (koala), 980 nucleotides long. RefSeq lists it as uncharacterized. The record is from RefSeq and is a predicted model, not a curated record. Lineage: Eukaryota; Metazoa; Chordata; Mammalia; Diprotodontia; Phascolarctidae.